AAUGAUGAAGCUGGUAAAGCAAUUGCACAUACUGUUUCAUAUUAGUGGCAAGCUCAUAGAACAUUAUGAUAACUUUGUUGCCCUGCUGAAUAGCGGAACAUCCUGUGGGGGGUUGAGAAGCGCCAUCCUCCAUGACUUCACCCAGGCUGAAGCAAAAGUAGAACUUCAGAUAUUGGGCUUACUGGGCAAAUAUCUGACUGGGCCUUGGAUGAAGCGCUUCUACACUUCAAGCCAGAAUCAGAACAACCAUGUUGAUGGCAUCAAAGUGGUUAAAGGAGUGAUUGCUGCUCUAAAGGAAGCCACAGAAAAUCCAGACAACUUGAUAUUGGCAAGGGAAGAUUUCUUCGGUGAGGAGGUACAUCUUAAUGCCACAUUGACAAAACUUCGGGAGCUACCAGUACAUCCACAAUUCAGUUCAAAGAUGAGGAGCUGUCUUCAAGCU
Long non-coding RNA from Amblyraja radiata (thorny skate), 442 nucleotides. RefSeq lists it as uncharacterized. The transcript is spliced from 3 exons. Lineage: Eukaryota; Metazoa; Chordata; Chondrichthyes; Rajiformes; Rajidae. The record is from RefSeq and is a predicted model, not a curated record.